GAUGAAGAACGUAGCGAAAUGCGAUACUUGGUGUGAAUUGCAGAAUCCCGUGAACCAUCGAGUCUUUGAACGCAAGUUGCGCCCGAAGCCACUAGGCCGAGGGCACGCCUGCCUGGGCGUCACACGCCGUUGCCCCUCCAUCUACUCCUUCGGGAUUGCGGGGGGGCGGAUGAUGGCCUCCCGUGCGCCUAGCCGCGCGGUUGGCAUAAAUACCAAGUCCUCGGCGACGCACGCCACGACAAUCGGUGGUUGCGAAACCUCGGUUGCCCGUCGUGUGCGUUCGUCGCGCAUCGAGGGCUCGAAAAAAUGCUCGGCUCCGGCUGGGCUUUCAACGCGACCCCAGGUCAGGCGGGGUUACCCGCUGAAUUUAAGCAUAUCAAUAAGCGGAGGA
Molecule: unclassified non-coding RNA, 391 nt
Filed under: soil metagenome
Description: partial contains 5.8S ribosomal RNA, internal transcribed spacer 2, and large subunit ribosomal RNA
Rfam family: 5.8S ribosomal RNA (bases 1-122)
Source: RNAcentral